Molecule: transfer RNA, 541 nt
Filed under: uncultured cyanobacterium
Lineage: Bacteria; Bacillati; Cyanobacteriota
Description: partial 16S-23S ribosomal RNA intergenic spacer
Rfam family: tRNA (bases 212-284)
Source: RNAcentral
CAGGGAGACAACAAAAUGUUUAAUAUUAUUAUUUUGUCACCUUAGGUCGAUCGGUAUCUCACGUUUUUAAUUUAUUAAGAAUUUCAUUUCCUAAGUUUUUCUAGGUCACACCCAUUAUUUUUCCUGGGCCAUUAGCUCAGGUGGUUAGAGCGCACCCCUGAUAAGGGUGAGGUCCCCGGUUCAAGUCCAGGAUGGCCCAUAUCUCUAUGUUGGGGGUAUAGCUCAGUUGGUAGAGCGCCUGCUUUGCAAGCAGGAUGUCAGCGGUUCGAGUCCGCUUACCUCCACUGAUCACCACCUCUUCCAUAAUCGGUAGAAAGGAAAUUUUUUGAGUUGUGAUCAAAUUCUGAAAGAAUCUAGCUUCCUAAUGAAAUCAUUAAGAUGCUGGACUCAUUGAAUUAAUUUCAUUGUUUUCAGAGAACCUUGACAACUGCAUAGAUUAUUUUUAAAGACAAUAAGCAUCUUUAAUGAUGCAGAUUUAUUAUUUGUGCAAAUGCAUUAAUAACAAUUCUAUUAAGCUGAUGCUUCAAUUUUUGAAGUUAUU